RNAcentral lists this ribosomal RNA (379 nucleotides) under uncultured eukaryote. RNAcentral's name for it is "partial 18S ribosomal RNA". It matches the Rfam family "Eukaryotic small subunit ribosomal RNA", at positions 592 to 975 of the family's 1831-position model. The record is from RNAcentral.
CAAUAGCGUAUAUUAAAGUUGUUGCGGUUAAAAAGCUCGUAGUUGGAUUUCUGCUGAGAACGACCGGUCCGCCCUCUGGGUGUGUAUCUGGCUCUUUCUUGGCAUCUUCUUGGUGAACGUUGCUGCACUUGACUGUGUGGAGCGCUACCCAGGACUUUUACUUUGAGGAAAUUAGAGUGUUUCAAGCAGGCAUACGCCUUGAAUACAUUAGCAUGGAAUAAUAAGAUAGGACCUCGGUUCUAUUUUGUUGGUUUCUAGAGCUGAGGUAAUGAUUAAUAGGGAUAGUUGGGGGCAUUCGUAUUCCUGUGGAAGAGGUGAAAUUCUUGGAUUUGUUAAAGACGGACUACUGCGAAAGCAUUUGCCAAGGAUGUUUUCAUUG